RNAcentral lists this long non-coding RNA (432 nucleotides) under Physcomitrium patens. Its description in RNAcentral is "long non-coding RNA (PPAT_LNC011002)". Lineage: Eukaryota; Viridiplantae; Streptophyta; Bryopsida; Funariales; Funariaceae. The record is from RNAcentral.
AGGGACCUAUCCCUCAUGUUAGGUUUAAAAGUUUGGAGAUAGAGUUACAUGAGUGUGUUAUUGGAUUUUUGACUUUUUAUUUUUAAGUUUUGAGAUUACCUACCCUCCUAUUUUCAAUGAUUGCGAAUUCAUUGGUGUGGUCAGAUUCCGAUAAAAUGUCAUAGAUUUUGAACUAGGGUUGUUGACUUUUUGGAGACUGUGUGUUGGCAAGUGCUGUUAGCUUUUUUGACAUUUUUUGUGAACUAUACUUAUUUCACAAUGUAGUGCAUUAUUUGAGCAUCGCAGAUUCAUCUUGUGGUCCUGAAACCAACACCGUAUGGAUGAGUUAUGAGUGGAUGAAGUUCUGUAGGUAUGAGUUCAUUGCAAAACUUCAUCUAUUCAUAACUUUUACAAACGGUGUUGGAUUAAAGAGCGCAAUAGCAUUCUAGAAUG